RNAcentral lists this transfer RNA (76 nucleotides) under Bryobacterales bacterium F-183. Its description in RNAcentral is "tRNA-Arg". It matches the Rfam family "tRNA". From Rfam's summary of the family: Transfer RNA (tRNA) molecules are approximately 80 nucleotides in length. Their secondary structure includes four short double-helical elements and three loops (D, anti-codon, and T loops). Lineage: Bacteria; Pseudomonadati; Acidobacteriota; Terriglobia; Bryobacterales. The record is from RNAcentral.
GGGCGCGUAGCUCAAUGGAUAGAGCAUCAGCCUUCGAAGCUGCAGGCUACAGGUUCGAGUCCUGUCGCGCCCACCA